GUGCAAGUUUUGUUUGUUUAAUUUAGCGUUCUUUAGUUGCUUGAAGAUUUCUAAUAAAUGUUGGAAAAUGUGGACUUCUUCAUGUAACCUUAAAGACCUUGCUGAGUAGAGAGACAAAGAGGUAUAUGGAACAAUGGGAAGUAGGGUCUUUAAUUCACAUCAGGAAGGAUUGCCAAAAAUUCACAUACCUUUUUACUACUUAAAAAUACAGUUUUCUAGAUAAGGCUUCAAAACAAGUAACAUUCAUGUAAUCUCUCUAGCUAAAGUAUGAAUUUGUCAUCCAAUUAAAAAAACCAUCCCCUCCAUACUCAAAUUACAUCUGUUUUAACAUUGCAAUGUUUUACACUGAACAAUUCAUCUUUGGGAGUUUGGCCAGUAUAGUGGUGGAAAUGGUUGGUAAGGGGGUGGGGGAUGUGUAAUCCUGACCUUGCUUUAGAAAAAAAUAGUAAAGUUCUGCCCAGAAAAAUGUAUAACAACAACAUUGAGGCAAACAGCUAAUGGUGCCCCCAAAUGGUCUCUCCAUAGGAUGCCAAACCAGAGAUGUGGAGCCAUGGCAGUUAAAUUGGCUCUGGCUUACCUUCACAUUUAUUUAUAAAUGCUGAAGAAUGAUAAGUUUGAAUAUCGGUAAGUUACAAUUUAGAACUUUGGUAUUUAUUCUUUUUUAAUGUUUGCUACCCCAAAGUCAUUCUAGUGUGUUAUUUUUAGAAGUUGUAGAGUUUUCUGGAAAGGCUUAUUUAUUUUUAUUUCAUGUGUAUGAGGUUUUUGCCUGCAUGUGUAUAUGUGCAUCACUUGCUUGCCUGGUGCCCUCUGAGGCCAGGAAAGGGCAUCAAUGAAUCUGGAGUCAUAAAUGCUUGUAAGCUGUUGCAUGGGUCUUGUCACCAAACCCAGGUCCUUCUGGAAAAGCAGCAAGAGUCUUAACAGCUGAGCUCUUUCCUGCUAUGAGAUUUGUAACUUUGACUUCUGCAAUUAGAUGUAUGACCUAUCCCAAGUUAAUUUGUGCAUAUAAUUGGAAUAGAUUUUUAAAUUUUUUUUAUUAAAUUUAUUUAUUUUACAUUGCUACCAUAGUUCCCCCUCCUUCCUCUCUACCCAAUCUUUCUCUUCCCACAAUCCAUUCAUCCUCUGUUUAUGUUCAGAAAGGGGCAGGCCUCCCAUGAGUAUCAACAAAGCAUGGCAUAUCAAGUUUUGGUAGGAUUAAGUACCUCCUUGUUUUAAGACUGGGGACGGCAACUCAGUAAGAGAACUAAGUUCCCAAAAGCCAGCCAAAGCAUUAGGGGCAGUCCUGAGGGUAAGGGCAUUGGAAGUGAUAGCUGGAAACGGGGGUACAUUUUGGGGUCAGGUAGAAACCUGGUACAAGGGAAACUCUCAGGAAUCUACAAGGAUGAUCCCAGCAAAGACUCCUAGAAAUAGUGGAUAUGUAUCCUGAACUAACCAUCUCCUGUGGCCAGGUAAGACUUCCAGUAGAGAGAUUGGGACACUAGCCCAGUCACAUAACUUUUGACCCAUAGUCUGUCUUGCCUAUGGGAUGUACUCGGGGUAAGGAUGACACAGAGGUUAUAGGAGUGGCCAAAAAUGACUGGCCCAGCCUGAGAUCCAUGCUACAAGAGUGAGCCCACUCCUGACACUGCCUGAACCCAGUGGCUGGAUGGCCCAGAGACGUAGGUUAGAACUGAACAUGAUUGGAGAAAAAACGUCAGUGUAAUUAUGCUUAAGAAUAUUCUGUUAUAUUCAUAGAUCAGUGCCUAUCCCAAUUGUCAUUAGAGAGCCUUCACUCAGUAACUGAUGGAGACAGAUGCAGAGACACACAGGCAAACAUUAGGUGCAGCUGGGGGAAUCCUGCUGAAAAGAGGGGGGGAGUAUUGUACAAGCCAGAGGGGUCAAUGACUUAACAAGUAAGCCCACAGAAUCAACUAACUGGGCUCAUAGAAUCUCACAAGUCUGAACCAACAAUUGGGGAACCUGAAUGGGACCAAUCUAGACCUUCUACAUCUAUGUGACAGUUGUGUAGCUGGGACUCCUAACAGUAAGAUAGAUUUAAAGUUAAUUUUGUUUAAAUACCCAAAUGUUUCUUGAAUAGAUUAGAUUUCCUUAGUACAUCUGUCACAUGUCAGGAGCAUAACUGUGCACAGAGACAUUCCAAGGCUGGUGGUUGUUUUGCUUUUUGUUUGUUUUCCUCUGUGUAGUCCUGGCUCUCUGGCACUUGCUCUGUAGAACAGGCUGGUAUCAUACUCAGAGAUCUGCCUGCCUCACCCUUGUUUUUCGCUUUGUACUGAUGUAUCUGUCCACUUGUUACCAGGUACAUGCUGUCUGAAUUUGUGUCUCAAGCAACUGAGAUUGUAAGAUUUUUAAAAAUAUUUUCAUUUGCCUCAUUUUUAAUAUUUUACUUAUCACAGCUCACAUAUCCUUUCUGUUUUCAAUGUCCUGUUACUUUUAUUUGAACAUACACAUUUGACUGUGGUUUUUCUAUUCAGUGAUUAUAGCCUUUAUAGGAAAAACCAUGUAUAAUGACAAUUGAAAUGAAAGAAAAAGAAUCAUAAGGCAUAACUCCUAAACAUAAAGAACAUGGGUUCUAAAUUUAAGAAAUGGACUAGAAAGACAGUAGAAGAGACAAAUUUGGGGGAAAAUGUUCUCUAUAAUUGUGAUGCUGAGUGGAGAAGCAAAUAUACAGGAGAAAAAAAGCCUAAAAAUUUAAGAGACAAUAGGGAAAUAAGCAGGAAGUGACCUAAAAAACGGUUUCUUCUGAACUACUAAUCCUUUGCAUCUGCCACUUUUGAGUCUCUUUCUAUAAAGUUCAUUUUAAAAAUUAUGUUACAUGCCACAUUACCCUGCUAUUUUAGAUGUCUGAUGAUUUUGUUUAUUUGGCGAUAGCCACUAGACUUUUAAGACGAUGAGUGGUUGGAUUUGGUUGAAUUUCUUAAAGAGUAUUGAGGCUUUUAGGGAGCAACUGUACUCACAGAUCAAUCCAAAAUCUUAAUGAGCUGUUUCAGAAUUUGAAAGGGCAUUUACAGACUAGCUUUCACUAUUGAUCUAUUUGAAUUAUCCCCCUAAGACAUCACCAGUGAUGAAUGUUCAAAACAGUCAACAUGUAACUUUACUUUGUUAGGUUGGUAUAGUCAAUAGCGUUGUGUAAAUGAAUUGAUUAGGUCUGAGUCCUCAUCUCUCAUUUAUUCUUAGCAUCUUUGGAGGCUGCAAGUCUCUGUCCCAGAGGAAAAUUCCAAUACCAAGACUACAAAGAUAGCUUUGGUCAAACCUAGAGGGACAUAAAACAAAAAGGCAUGGAUGAGGAAGAGAGAAGAGCAGGAAAUGGCAGUGGGAAGGCAUGGGAGCCACACAGGGGAAAGAGAGGGGUGUGGUCACUGUUACAGGUCCACAGACAAGAUGCCUACAAGGAGGAUUGUGGAAGGAAUUUGAAACUUUGUGCAAGAAAAUCCAUUGAAUGUUCAUGCUUGGUGAGCUGUUCUGAAGGAGCUUCGAAGAUAAGAAUGUUGAAGCCAAUGCAGAGGAUGGGGGCCUGGCUUGUGAAGUUUCAGAGGGAAAUUGAAGGUGUCAUUCGGAGAAAUUGAGGCUUGGCUAUGAGAUACUAUUGGUGAAAAUGCAGCCCAGUUGCAGCAGAAGAUAAACAGCAUUUUUGGUGAUACCAAUACCAUGCAAUGACCACCAGCAGCAGCACUGGAGUGGUGCCAGUCAGAACCUAAAAGACAAGGUAUGUGUGCUAGAAAGGGCAGAGCUGAACAAUCCAGUACCAUUGGAGGAGCCCAGAAAAUUGUGAGUGAAUCCCAGAUAGUUGGAUAUUGAGUUAUUCACAUUGUUAGAGUUUGGUUUUGCUUUGAUUUGAUUUUUACUGUGCCCUGGUUCUUCUCUCUUGAAAAUAUUUAACUUAAUUUUGAUCUUUACAGCAACCCAAAGAUAAAAGACUGAACUUUUAAAGUUGAUUUUAGAGUUUUGAAGAAAAUGUGUUUGUGUGUCAAGUUGACAAGAGGUCAGCUGUACUGACUACUUUUGUGUCAACUUUAUACAAGCUCAAGGAAUUUGAGAGGAGGGAACCUCAAUUAAGAUAAUACCUUGAUAUCUUGUAGGACAUUGUCUUUCUUAAUGAGUGAUUGACCUGGAGGACCCAGCCAUUUGUGGGUGGGGCUGCCCCUGGGUUCUAUAAGAAAGCAGGCUGAGCAAACCAUGGUGAGGGCAAACUGGUAAGCAAAGCCCUUCUUCAGCCUCUGCUUCAGCUCCUACCUCCAGAUUCCUACCCUGUUUUGAGUUCCUGCCCUGACUUCCUUCAAUGAUGAACAGUAAUAUGAAAGUGUAAGAUUUCCCCCCAAACUUGCUUUCAGUCAUGAUGUUUUAUCAUAGCAAUAUUAACCCUAACUAUGAUACCAUGUGAACAACCAAGGUGGCACUUUAUACUUCCUGAGAUGACAAGGGCUUCCCACAGCCGAGUUGACAGACAGCCUCCAAGUGUUACCUGGGAUUCCACAGCCACUUCAGGCUUCCCAGAGGCUAAAACAGGAGGAUCACCAUGACUUUAACAACCUCAGCUACAUAGCAAGACUCCUUCUUAACAAAAAUCUGUGAAAUACAAGUAAUCAUUACUGAUCCUACUUUUCUAGCUAGUGCAUUCUACCAAUUUUAACAAGUUGCAUUGUUACACUCACUUUUUCAAAAUAUCUUCAACUUUUCUUGAACACUUUAAUUUUUCUUCCAAUGUUGAUAUUAUGAUAUAAUUUCAGUAUUUAUUCCUUACUGUACCUCCCUCCAACCAUUCUACAUACCCCUCCUUGCUUUUUUCAAAUUCAUGGACUCUUUCUUCAUUAAAUGUUGUCAUAUGCAUUCCUAAAUCUAACCUGCUAAGUCUGCAUAAUGGUGUGUAUGCAUGCAUGUAUGUAUUUACGUAUGUAUGUUUUCAGGGCUGGCCAUUUGGUGGUAUUGGAUAACCAGUUGUGCUAUUCCCCGCAGAAGACUGUUUCUCCCAUUCCUAGCAUUCCUGGGUUGCCUGUAGUUUUCUAUGUAGGACUUAGGCCUUAUGAGCUACCCUCUACCACUGCUCCAUUCACUUUGCAUGUUUAUUGGUGUUGUCUUUGUUCAGCUAAUGUUUAGGUAGUCAUGUGGAUGAGAUUUUGUAUAUACAACUUCUGACAUCUGUAGUAGACACAAUCUUGUAGAAAAAUGCCUGAUCUGGUUCUUGCAAUCUUUAACUUAUUUUAUGUUAGUGUCAUGUGUCAGUGUUUUACUGGUUGCCAAAUAUAUAGGGAUUUCUGUAGCUAUAUUUCUGUUGCUAAUCAGAUCACUGUAGUCUGUCAACAUAAUGUGGGGGGCAUGCAUAUGAUUGUGUGUGUGUGUGUGUGUGUGUGCGUGUUGUAUAUGUACAAUUUGUGUAUGGGGGUGUGGGGUGUAUGAAAGAGAGAGAGAGAGAGAGAGAGAGAGAGAGAGAGUUCCAUAUGUCCAUAUGCACUCCUAUAGAGGGCCCUGGUGUCUUCUUCUAUCCUUUGUCACUUUUAUUUUUUUUAUUUAAUUGUAUUUUUGCUUAUUUAUUAGGUGUGUGUGUGUGUGUGUG
Molecule: non-coding RNA, 5545 nt
Organism: Cricetulus griseus (Chinese hamster)
Lineage: Eukaryota; Metazoa; Chordata; Mammalia; Rodentia; Cricetidae
Source: RefSeq, a predicted model, not a curated record